GGCUCAAACAUACCUCCCCAAGCACUGGAUUUACAGCUACCCGUGCUUUUCUAGCAGAUGCCUGGGCUCCUGGACAUACUGCUCUAAGGCUGUUUGAGACAGCACGCCUCCUGGCCCCCUAAGAUCAAGCUCUUUUAAAGAGCAUCCUAAAAAGAACCAGGUUUACACACAAAAGCCAGGAUGACUCCUAGCAGAUGCUUUGCUACCUAAAAGUUGUUACGUCAUGUAGAAAAUGAAGAAGGAAAGAAAGAAAA
Molecule: long non-coding RNA, 254 nt
Organism: Cebus imitator (Panamanian white-faced capuchin)
Lineage: Eukaryota; Metazoa; Chordata; Mammalia; Primates; Cebidae
Exons: 2
Source: RefSeq, a predicted model, not a curated record